Unclassified non-coding RNA from Bos indicus x Bos taurus (hybrid cattle), 109 nucleotides. NCBI's taxonomy places the organism in Eukaryota, Metazoa, Chordata, Mammalia, Artiodactyla, Bovidae. The record is from Ensembl.
AAGGAAGGAGAGGCUGUUUCUACAGGUGUCAGAGAAAAAUCGAUACUGAGCCAUGGAUUAUUGAAUCCCGUAGAACCAUGGAGGCUUGGCAGUGAAAUUCUUCCAAAGG